UAAUAAUAAUAAUAAUAAUAAAGAGAAAUAUUUCAACCCUGUUAAGCACAUCGUUGGUGCGUAUUUUACUCCUCAUCAGCUACUUCUCCCCCAGUUUGGUUGAACUGUGUCUCCUUCGUGUUCAACCAGUGAAGUUAUUGCUAGAGCCAAUGUUGUGCUGCUCUCCCAAGUCUACCUAACAACCAUGAUAUUUUAGCUCCGCCACUCACUUAAGACGAGAUGUUUUCACUUUGCACAGUAGCAAAGUCAAAAUACUUCGGCCCUGCAACCCCGUAACUCAUCAAAGAUUAAAUAUUUUAGCUUUGCAAAACAAUCAAAGACAAAAUAUUCUAGCCCUGCAAAUUGUCAAUCACAUAAGAAAUUUUAGCUCUGUAAAUCAACAAAGAUAAGAAUUUUUCCUUGAUUUUAGAGUCGUCGUUGCAGGCUUGAUUUCUCUUUUGAUUUUUGAACAUCGUCAAAGGUGAUCAACUUUCAUUUCUUUGAGCGCAUAAGAAAACCAACACUUGAAUAGGUGAGCAAUAUGAAUACUUUGUGUUGGGCGAAUAAGAAGGUCGUCACAAGAAGAUACCGAUAUUAUAUGUAACCUCGUCAAGGCAGAGAGACAUAAUAUUUUGAUAGUGUGAGAAAGACCAACAUAGAUAAUUAUCAAAUCUGACCGACAUACUCUGUUAUUGGGUGCGUGAGAAGACUAGUGCGUGAGAGUACCGAUACUUGAUUGAGAGUGUCCUUUAUUGAGUUCCAAAGAGUAAAGAUAGCAGACGAGAAAUAUCAUCGUUGGACGAUUUAGGAACACACCAUAGAGGUGGCUUUAUUCACCGUUGGGUGAUUUAGAACCCAAGCAUAUCACACGGGGAUAGCUUUAAGAAUGAACAUAUCACACCCUAAUGAGGACUCCCGAUGGUACAGCCCUGAGAAGGACUCCCGAUGGUACAACCUGUAAUACCCCGUAUAUUUUAUAAUAUUUUUAUUAGUAUAUAUAUUUGUUAAAGGAAUUAAAUAGCUUGAGAUGUUAUUUAAUUAAUUGAGUAUUAGUUACUAAUGAGUUUAUUAAUUUAAGUAAUCAAUAUCAAUUAUUAAAUCAAUAGUGAGAAUAAUAGGUGAAUAUUUAUUUACUUGUUUCUUCAUGGAUGUGAAUAGUUUUGAUAGAAUAGUGGGUGAUUAGCUCUAUUAAUUUAGUAGUUGGAAAAUAUUUCUUUAAGUUUGUUUUUAAUUUAUUAAUUUCAAUAAACAAUUAGCUAGUGUGUUAACUACCUUUCCAAUAUAUGAGAUAUUAAAGUUACAUUUUAUUUAUUAUUAUUUCCUAAGUGGGCUGAUCAGUAGAGGGCACCAAAUUGGAUUCUAAAUUACAUUGCAUCAAAUAUUUUAAUUCUUAGGGCACAAGUCCCCCCCAAAAAAGGGGAUAGUUAAAUAAGUGUAUUAGAAUUGAGAAAUCUCAUUUUCCCUUGUUCCUGGACUCUUGACUUUUCUCCCAAAAGAAAACAGAACCAUCAUCUUCCUCUUUCAAGUUGAAUUCGUAGAGAAAUCUCAAGCAGAAGCUGCACUACUUUAAAAGAAAAGGCUCCGGCUAGGAACGAGCCUGACACUAGAGUACGAAGUAAGAGAAACAUAUCAGGAUGGCUCGUACCCUACGUACCGCAAGGAAGAGGGUUAGUACUAGAGCGACACGGGAUGAGAUUCGUUGGGAGUACCUCCACUAUGGCAUGUGCUGGAGAGACACAUUGGGGGAAUUUCUUGCCCACUUCCACGAGCACUGGUUGGCAGCUAGCAUGUAUGGGAUCUCCUCGUAUGAUGGCAUUAUUCGACUGACUCUACUUCCAUCCGACUGGAAGGGUUGGGCGACCUCCAUUGCCACAGACUACUUAUACUAUUAUGGUGAGGAGUACGACCUGUAUGUAGAUUUUCCAGGUUUCGUAGCCGCGGUUAGUUAUCAGUAUUUCUGCUAUGGGGCAGCUCCUUAUGGACCAUACACGUUACCAGGAGACUACAUCCAAGCUGGAGGAGGAAUUGCCGAUUUCUUACCACGAGAUGACCCUGCUCCGUAUGUGCCGUCCGAGCCAGUUCAGGUGGCCCCACUCCUUGAGUCUGACACUGAUGACGAGAUAGCUGCCCUACUUCGUUCUCCUACACCGAUUUACAUAGUGGUUUCCUCUGAUAGUGAGACAACUCCUCAACAAACACUUCCGACUGUACCAUCCUCAAAACCCGCACCUGCAACAAGUUUGAAGCUGGACCUUCCAGACUGCCUGGUGUACCUCGAGACCAUAUGGAUUCUCCCGGGAUGCAGCCGACUGUUGGAACUAUACGUCGAGAGCCGAUAGAUCUAAAUUAAGCGGAUGUGGUAGUCGACUCGGAUGAUAAACACGAGGCAGAGACACACGGUCAGAUGAUGCAUGUUUUCUUGAGGAGGGAUUCUGCAGGUAACGAUGUGAGAGUUCACGAGGUUCCAUGACAUGAGGGCGAGAUAGAGACGGAGCCUAGUGAGUCCAGUGCAGCAUGAGCAGAUGUUAGCUACUCCUUGAUGAUGGUUAGAUAGAAGGUGUAGUAACUUUAUGUAUGUACAUAGAUGUAUAUAGCUAUGUGUGGUGUGUAGAUGUAUAUAUAUGUUUUGAUGAUACGAAUGCGGAGUCUAGCAGACCGCACCGUGGUAUAGUACUAGUUGUGAUGUUUAUAUAGUAGAACAUCAGGAUUAGUACUAGGGAUUUUUGCUGUACAUAUCCCUGCUAUUUUGUAAAAGUCCUCCGAGGAGGCAGCUUUUACCUGAUGAUAUAUGAUGAUGACCUACGCGGUCAUUUAGCAAA
Molecule: RNA transcript, 2798 nt
Organism: Salvia miltiorrhiza (redroot sage)
Lineage: Eukaryota; Viridiplantae; Streptophyta; Magnoliopsida; Lamiales; Lamiaceae
Exons: 3
Source: RefSeq, a predicted model, not a curated record